GACGAACGCUGGCGGCGUGCUUAACACAUGCAAGUCGAACGGAAAGGCCCUGCUUUUGUGGGGUGCUCGAGUGGCGAACGGGUGAGUAACACGUGAGUAACCUGCCCUUGACUUUGGGAUAACUUCAGGAAACUGGGGCUAAUACCGGAUAGGAGCUCCUGCUGCAUGGUGGGGGUUGGAAAGUUUCGGCGGUUGGGGAUGGACUCGCGGCUUAUCAGCUUGUUGGUGGGGUAGUGGCUUACCAAGGCUUUGACGGGUAGCCGGCCUGAGAGGGUGACCGGCCACAUUGGGACUGAGAUACGGCCCAGACGCCUACGGGAGGCAGCAGUGGGGAAUAUUGCACAAUGGGCGGAAGCCUGAUGCAGCAACGCCGCGUGCGGGAUGACGGCCUUCGGGUUGUAAACCGCUUUCGCAUGUGACGAAGCGUGAGUGACGGUAAUGGGUAAAGAAGCACCGGCUAACUACGUG
This 468-nucleotide ribosomal RNA is filed under the name uncultured bacterium. Its description in RNAcentral is "partial 16S ribosomal RNA". It matches the Rfam family "Bacterial small subunit ribosomal RNA", at positions 28 to 507 of the family's 1533-position model. The record is from RNAcentral.